RNAcentral lists this ribosomal RNA (253 nucleotides) under uncultured bacterium. RNAcentral's name for it is "partial 16S ribosomal RNA". It matches the Rfam family "Bacterial small subunit ribosomal RNA", at positions 524 to 776 of the family's 1533-position model. The record is from RNAcentral.
UACGUAGGUGGCAAGCGUUGUCCGGAAUUACUGGGCGUAAAGCGCGUGUAGGCGGCUAAGUAAGUCGGGCGUGAAAUCCCACGGCUCAACCGUGGAAGUGCACUCGAAACUGCAUAGCUAGAGUCCUGGAGAGGAAGGUGGAAUGCUUGGUGUAGAGGUGAAAUUCGUAGAUAUCAAGCGGAACACCGGUGGCGAAGGCGGCCUUCUGGACAGUGACUGACGCUGAGACGCGAAAGCGUGGGGAGCAAACAGG